Molecule: unclassified non-coding RNA, 495 nt
Filed under: Hevea brasiliensis (rubber tree)
Lineage: Eukaryota; Viridiplantae; Streptophyta; Magnoliopsida; Malpighiales; Euphorbiaceae
Source: RNAcentral
UGUGAAUUGUCCAUACAAAGUCUCUGCUACGAGCAAAAGAAAAGUGCUGGUUUCUACGACAUUUUUCAAAUGCUAUGGUUAAGGAAAUGAAAAUAAUCAUACAAUGCUGGUCCAGUCGUGAAUGAACCAAAGCAUCUUUUAUUCCAGCCUCAACACCGCAUGGUAUAUUAUAGGGUAUAAGUUAGUAACCAAUAAGAACUUUUAAACGAAAUGCAAGCUAAUGGAAUGAAUUGAAAGCUUAAAAGAGUUAUAAAUCCAAAACUAACUCCUACACUGGAGAGGAACCAGACCCAAGGGCCUUCCAAAGUUUGACCCAGUCCGACAUGGCAUCAGCAGCAGAAGCAAAAACAGGAUCUAAUAUUCCCAACUGUUGCUUCAACGCCGUUGCGAUCUCAACCACACAAUCUUCUGCUGUGGCUGCCGUUCGUGGCAACCUCACUGACUGAAAGAAAGGGACAACUUCCUACAUUAGCUUCACCCCUUCCCACUCUUUUU